Cavia porcellus (domestic guinea pig) is the source of this 3391-nucleotide long non-coding RNA. RefSeq lists it as uncharacterized. The record is from RefSeq and is a predicted model, not a curated record. The transcript is spliced from 2 exons. Lineage: Eukaryota; Metazoa; Chordata; Mammalia; Rodentia; Caviidae.
CUCUUUCCCUCCGCCCCGCCCGGCGACGGAGUUUCGUGCAACUAUUGGUCCGCUUGCGCGUCCUUCACAGCCAAGUCCCGCCUACGCUGUCGGGCAGCCUCCGCCUCUCCCUCCUCUCCCCGCCCCUACAUCGAAGUUCCAUGCGUGUAUUGCUCAGAAAGCACGUCGCUCCUGUAGGGUCCCGCCCCCGCCCCAGGAGCCUCCACCUUUCUCCGGGCCCGCCUACGCCCCGCCCCGCCGUCCGUGCUCGCGCGCUCAUUGGUUGAGGCGCACGUUCUUCACCGCCGAGUCCUGCUCCCGGCCUACGGCUCUUUCCCCACGGAAACGUCCCUGUUGCCAGCGGGACAGGCUUUUCCUGCCACGGCUGUCCGGGCCCGCCUCGGGGUAACCACCAAGGGCGACCAUGGGGUGACUGUAGGGGGUCCGGCAAGGGGCGCCUUAGCUAGUCUCUGCGGCUACGUCUGCCGCCUCGGGCCCUGCCUAGGAUUAGCGGUUCUGAGCAAGUGUGACGUGGGGUGGGGACCCAGGCUGCCCUGCCCUGUGGCUGGGUUUCUGCGCCCCCUGACCUCAGGCUUGCCCCUGUUCUUAUCCCUGACCCCGGUGGGACGCUUCGCCCCCCUUGGGCCUGCCUUCUGAAGGCUCGGGCUCCCGAAGCGGAGCCAGGAGGUCUGUUCCGAAGACAGGGCCCGAAUAAAGCCGAACUCAGAAGCUGAGUGUCCCGAGGGUCUGAGGGCCCCAGGGCGAGGACGGGCAGCCCCUCAGAGGCUGCUGGAGACCACCCUUCGCUCCUGAGGACCCGGUAGGCAGUCCCCACGGGCAGCGAUCUCCGGGCUCCGUCUGUGUGGCAGACAUGCAGACAUCGUGGCCAGUGUAUGAGGCGGGAUGCUUGUAGACCACAGUGGACUUGCCCUGCUCCAGGCCCGGCCCCCAGGGGCGCAGCCUGGAGCGAGGUCCUAGAUCCACCCUGAAGGAGCUGCGGCGAGGGCUGCUGGGCACAGCAGAGCUGGCACUCAGGCAGCUGUGAGGAGUUGGUCCCUGGCCAGUUGGCACCCCGAGAGGGAGAAGUGCCAAGACCUGUGGAGAGGAGGGCUGGCUUUGGGAAAAAGGGAGAAAACAAGUCCAGGAAGCUCCCGUGUAAGACUGACACCCACGCGUUCCUGUUGUUUGGACACAUUUUUCACUACUUUGAGAAAAAAAAAAACACCUUUGAACCUAGAGCCAAAGGCUUCGAAUGUCCGAAUGUCCACAACAUGGAAAAGUUUUACAAGAGAGAUAGGAAGUAAAGGCACAUCCCUCGGGCACAAUCUUCGGUCUACUACAAGUCCAGGACACCUCCUAGCUGAGGUAUGCAUGGGAAACAAAGUUAUGAGUCAUAAUCAUUUCACAACACAUCUUAAUCACCUAGUGGGCUGAAUGUGGGGGUGUGGUUCCAUAGCUGAACCCCUCUCUAAGGAAAGCUAGACAGCAGCAUAAUACAUGGGACCAGCUAUGCCUGUACACACCUGGCCUGCUGAUUUAACAGCCAGGUCAUGUGUUACCCAGUUGUUCACUCACAUGUGCAGCUACCUGCCCCUGCCCUUGUCUAUCUUAUUAGGCCUUCCCUGCCGUUUUUGAUUACAUUCCCACUUGCAAUCAUUUCGCAUUUGGAAUUUAUGUUUUCAAGAACUUAGUCCAGUUUCCCAGAGCUAAUUUUGGAAAUACCCUCUGCUUAUGAAGAAAAACGAAGGGGUGGGGAAGGUGGACAGCACAACAUUUUGUCUACUGAAAGAAAUGUGCUUUUCGUUCUGCAGUAUAGUUCCUUCUGGGAAGUAUUCGUCCAGCUAGAAAUUCCAUUUCCAGGCCUGAUCCUGGGUCCAGAGACUGGCUCUUGUGUUGACCAGGCUGAGGCUGCUGUUCUGUCACUUGUUAACCUAGGCGUACACACUGAGGGCAUGACCCCUAGUGACACGGAGGCCAUCCUCUGGGGAUAGCUGAGCCCCUCGAUUACCAGAGAGAGGAAUAAUGCGUUAGACUUCACCUAAGAAAGAAAUCAUCUAUUGUGUUGCUCUAUGACGAUCUGAAGAUAUGUUUGUUAGGGUAAUGAUUUUAUUCCAGAAAUAAAAUCCCUAGUAAAAUACAGAAGUGUCAUGUAACUGUUACGUAAGAGAACCACCAGAAGACUAGAAACAUUAUGGCUCUUAAAACAUGAGCUCUAGCCAGGGAUUUAGCUCAGCAGCAUAAGCACUUGCCUGGUAAGUGUGAAGCUGUGAGUUCAAUCCUCCAUACCAGACACAUGAGCUCUACAUUGUAAAUUUCUUGUGUAUGAAUUAUUCAUUUGCUAGUUGUGUUUUGAAGAAUAAUGCACAAGUGUGUAGAAUAAAGAAGUAUUCCAUGACUUACUUCAUUUAAGGCUCUCAAAGUCUUGUUAUAUACAAACUGUCUUUGCAAACAUUGACAUACAAGGUUGGAGAGCACUAACAUGCUACAGCUUCAUCAGAACCAAUAAAGAAAGUAAAUAUGGCCCAGCUAUGGUAGAUUUGGAGUCAUGUGUAAAUACCACAGUGGACUUCCAUUAGUGUAAGUCAUCCUAAAGGGAGACAUUUUUGUUUAAGUGUUCUGUUGUAUCAGAAGCAUUUAGAAAAGAGAAAGAAAUUAAGGUUUAUGUCGCAUUUAGAGGAUAACCUGACUUUUCUGCAGCUCUUGGAUGAAAUUACCAUCCAUUUGGACUCUAAGCACUGAAUACUGGCUUCUGAUCAUGCCCUACUGAGGCCUGCUGUCCUUCACAGCUGCUGGUGGGUGGCAAGGAGUCUGACCUAUUCCAUGUUGGCGUUGGGGGCAUACUCUGCAGAAGAACCCUGGAAGCACCCAGUCCUGAUGCAUCUUAUGUCCAAGGAUGUGGAGAUGCCAUAUACACCACUGGACACAGGAACCUGGACUUGGAAAGAGAGGGCUCCUCCAUACUGGGUGCCUGGUUGGAAGCCAUCAGCACAGUAGAGCUUGACAAGAUAGAGGAGAGGAAGGAAAGAAGGGAACCGCACACUUGCCACAGGAACAGCUUCUGGCAAAUGAAGCCAGUUGGGUUGGUGUGUGGAGAGGUGGGGUAGAAUGACAACCGAGAGUUGAUAACUGCUUUGACUAAGAGGAUUAUUGGUGAUCUGGACUAAGCAGUCCUGUAAACCCACCUCAAAUAGCAUCGCAUCCUUCUCUGCCUCUGUAUUGACUCAGUUCCAUUUUAGCAUUUUACACCUGUUGACACUGUGUGUGCACAUUAUGUGUAUGAUAUUUGUCUGUCUUCUCUCAAGUAAAUAAAGAGGUACCUCGAGAAUAGGCACUCCAUCUUUCUUGUUCCCAAAUAAAUCUCUUACAGCAUGCCCAGCAAACACUGUGAAUAAAUGCUUGUUGGAAAAGCAAA